RNAcentral lists this ribosomal RNA (2931 nucleotides) under Geobacillus thermocatenulatus. RNAcentral describes it as "23S ribosomal RNA". It matches the Rfam family "Bacterial large subunit ribosomal RNA". Lineage: Bacteria; Bacillati; Bacillota; Bacilli; Caryophanales; Anoxybacillaceae. The record is from RNAcentral.
AGGUUAAGCUAGAAAGGGCGCACGGUGGAUGCCUUGGCACUAGGAGCCGAUGAAGGACGGGGCAAACGCCGAAACGCUCCGGGGAGCUGUAAGCAAGCGUGGAUCCGGAGAUGUCCGAAUGGGGGAACCCACUGCUCGUAAUGGGGCAGUAUCCAUGCCUGAAUCCAUAGGGCAUGGAGGGCACACCCGGGGAACUGAAACAUCUUAGUACCCGGAGGAGAAGAAAGCAAACGCGAUUCCCCGAGUAGCGGCGAGCGAAACGGGAACAGCCCAAACCAAGAGGCGUGUCCUCUUGGGGUUGUAGGACCGCUCAUGGUGGGAGUGAGAAAGGGACGGGGUAGACGAACCGGUCUGGAACGGCCGGCCAGAGAAGGUGAGAGCCCUGUAGUCGAAACUUCGUUCCCUCCCGAGCGGAUCCUGAGUACGGCGGGACACGAGGAAUCCCGUCGGAAGCAGGGAGGACCAUCUCCCAAGGCUAAAUACUCCCUAGUGACCGAUAGUGAACCAGUACCGUGAGGGAAAGGUGAAAAGCACCCCGGGAGGGGAGUGAAAGAGAACCUGAAACCGUGUGCCUACAAGUAGUCAGAGCCCGUUGAUGGGUGAUGGCGUGCCUUUUGUAGAAUGAACCGGCGAGUGACGAUGGCGUGCGAGGUUAAGCCGAAGAGGCGGAGCCGCAGCGAAAGCGAGUCUGAACAGGGCGAAAAGUACGUCGUCGUCGACCCGAAACCAGGUGAUCUACCCAUGUCCAGGGUGAAGGCCGGGUAACACCGGCUGGAGGCCCGAACCCACGCACGUUGAAAAGUGCGGGGAUGAGGUGUGGGUAGGGGUGAAAUGCCAAUCGAACUUGGAGAUAGCUGGUUCUCCCCGAAAUAGCUUUAGGGCUAGCCUCGGGCUUGAGAGUGUUGGAGGUAGAGCACUGAUUGGGCUAGGGGCCCAAACCGGGUUACCGAACCCAGUCAAACUCCGAAUGCCAACGACUUAUGCCCGGGAGUCAGACGGCGAGUGAUAAGAUCCGUGGUCGAGAGGGGAACAGCCCAGACCGCCAGCUAAGGCCCCCAAGUGCACGUUCAGUGGAAAAGGAUGUGGAGUUGCCAAGACAACCAGGAUGUUGGCUUAGAAGCAGCCACCAUUUAAAGAGUGCGUAAUAGCUCACUGGUCGAGUGACUCUGCGCCGAAAAUGUACCGGGGCUAAACGUGCCGCCGAAGCUGCGGGAUGACCGUUGGUCAUCGGUAGGGGAGCGUUCUAAGGGCAGAGAAGCCAGACCGGAAGGACUGGUGGAGCGCUUAGAAGUGAGAAUGCCGGUAUGAGUAGCGAAAACAGAGGUGAGAAUCCUCUGCGCCGAAAGCCUAAGGGUUCCUGAGGAAGGUUCGUCCGCUCAGGGUUAGUCGGGACCUAAGCCGAGGCCGAAAGGCGUAGGUGAUGGACAACAGGUUGAGAUUCCUGUACCACCUUCUUCCCGUUUGAGCGAUGGGGGGACGCAGGAGGAUAGGGCGAGCAGGCGGCUGGAAGAGCCUGUCCAAGCCGUGAGGCUGAUCCGCAGGCAAAUCCGCGGAUUGGAAGGCCGAGCGGUGACGGCGACGGAGUCAUCCGGAAGUCCCCGAUUUCACACUGCCAAGAAAAGCCUCUAGCGAGGGAAGAGGUGCCCGUACCGCAAACCGACACAGGUAGGCGAGGAGAGAAUCCUAAGGCGCGCGGGAGAACUCUCGUUAAGGAACUCGGCAAAAUGACCCCGUAACUUCGGGAGAAGGGGUGCUCUUUGGGGUGAAGAGCCCUGAAGAGCCGCAGUGAAAAGGCCCAAGCGACUGUUUAUCAAAAACACAGGUCUCUGCGAAGCCGAAAGGCGACGUAUAGGGGCUGACACCUGCCCGGUGCUGGAAGGUUAAGGGGAGCGCUUAGCGGAAGCGAAGGUGCGAACCGAAGCCCCAGUAAACGGCGGCCGUAACUAUAACGGUCCUAAGGUAGCGAAAUUCCUUGUCGGGUAAGUUCCGACCCGCACGAAAGGUGUAACGACUUGGGCGCUGUCUCAACGAGAGACCCGGUGAAAUUAUACUACCUGUGAAGAUGCAGGUUACCCGCGACAGGACGGAAAGACCCCGUGGAGCUUUACUGCAGCCUGAUAUGGAAUUUUGGUAUCGCUUGUACAGGAUAGGUGGGAGCCUGGGAAGCCGGAGCGCCAGCUUCGGUGGAGGCGGCGGUGGGAUACCACCCUGGCGGUAUUGAAAUUCUAACCCGCACCCCUUAGCGGGGUGGGAGACAGUGUCAGGCGGGCAGUUUGACUGGGGCGGUCGCCUCCCAAAAGGUAACGGAGGCGCCCAAAGGUUCCCUCAGAAUGGUUGGAAAUCAUUCGGAGAGUGCAAAGGCACAAGGGAGCUUGACUGCGAGACGGACAGGUCGAGCAGGGACGAAAGUCGGGCUUAGUGAUCCGGUGGUUCCGCAUGGAAGGGCCAUCGCUCAACGGAUAAAAGCUACCCCGGGGAUAACAGGCUGAUCUCCCCCAAGAGUCCACAUCGACGGGGAGGUUUGGCACCUCGAUGUCGGCUCAUCGCAUCCUGGGGCUGUAGUCGGUCCCAAGGGUUGGGCUGUUCGCCCAUUAAAGCGGUACGCGAGCUGGGUUCAGAACGUCGUGAGACAGUUCGGUCCCUAUCCGUCGCGGGCGGAGGAAAUUUGAGAGGAGCUGUCCUUAGUACGAGAGGACCGGGAUGGACGCACCGCUGGUGUACCAGUUGUCCCGCCAGGGGCACCGCUGGGUAGCUAUGUGCGGACGGGAUAAGCGCUGAAAGCAUCUAAGCGUGAAGCCCCCCUCAAGAUGAGAUUUCCCACCGCGUUAGGCGGGUAAGAUCCCUCGAAGAUGACGAGGUCGAUAGGUCCGAGGUGGAAGCGUGGCGACACGUGGAGCUGACGGAUACUAAUCGAUCGAGGGCUUAACCUAG